UACGGAGGAUGCAAGCGUUAUCCGGAUUCAUUGGGUUUAAAGGGUGCGUAGGCGGAACGAUAAGUUAGUGGUGAAAGCCCCCGGCUUAACCGGGGAACUGCCAUUAAUACUGUCGUUCUUGAGUAUAGUUGAAGUAGGCGGAAUGUAUCAUGUAGCGGUGAAAUGCUUAGAUAUGAUACAGAACACCGAUAGCGUAGGCAGCUUGCUAAGCUAUAACUGACGCUCAGGCACGAAAGCGUGGGGAGCAAACAGG
RNAcentral lists this ribosomal RNA (253 nucleotides) under uncultured bacterium. RNAcentral describes it as "partial 16S ribosomal RNA". It matches the Rfam family "Bacterial small subunit ribosomal RNA", at positions 524 to 776 of the family's 1533-position model. The record is from RNAcentral.